UUUCCGUAGGUGAACCUGCGGAAGGAUCAUUACAGAGUUCAUGCCCUCACGGGUAGAUCUCCCACCCUUGAAUAUUAUACCUUAGUUGCUUUGGCAGGCCGUGGAAACACCAUGGGCUCCGGCUUACGCGUGCCUGCCAGAGGAAACAAACUCUGUUUUUAGUGAUGUCUGAGUACUAUAUAAUAGUUAAAACUUUCAACAACGGAUCUCUUGGUUCUG
Molecule: unclassified non-coding RNA, 219 nt
Filed under: plant metagenome
Description: partial contains small subunit ribosomal RNA, internal transcribed spacer 1, and 5.8S ribosomal RNA
Source: RNAcentral